RNAcentral lists this ribosomal RNA (380 nucleotides) under uncultured bacterium. Its description in RNAcentral is "bacterial SSU rRNA". It matches the Rfam family "Bacterial small subunit ribosomal RNA", at positions 28 to 411 of the family's 1533-position model. The record is from RNAcentral.
GAUGAACGCUAGCGGCAGGCUUAACACAUGCAAGUCGAGGGGUAGAGGAAGCUUGCUUCCUUGAGACCGGCGCACGGGUGCGUAACGCGUAUACAAUCUACCUUUUACAGAGGGAUAGCCCAGAGAAAUUUGGAUUAAUACCUCAUAGUAUUUCGGAUCGCAUGAUUUGAUUAUUAAAGUUCCAACGGUAAAAGAUGAGUAUGCGUCCCAUUAGCUAGAUGGUAAGGUAAACGGCUUACCAUGGCUACGAUGGUAGGGGUCCUGAGAGGGAGAUCCCCCACACUGGUACUGAGACACGGACCAGACUCCUACGGAGGCAGCAGUGAGGAAUAUUGGUCAAUGGACGCAAGUCUGAACCAGCCAUGCCGCGUGCAGGAUGA